This 278-nucleotide unclassified non-coding RNA is filed under the name uncultured fungus. RNAcentral describes it as "partial contains 5.8S ribosomal RNA, internal transcribed spacer 2, and large subunit ribosomal RNA". The stretch from base 1 to 52 matches the Rfam family "5.8S ribosomal RNA", at positions 103 to 154 of the family's 154-position model. Lineage: Eukaryota; Fungi. The record is from RNAcentral.
AACGCACAUUGCGCCUUUUGGUAUUCCGAGAGGCACGCCUGUCUGAGCGUCAGCAAAACCUUCGGGAGUAGCUCUUUAUUGACUUAUCCCCGGCGUUGGCGGAGGGCGGUCCCCCCUGGGGAUCCCCCCGCUUAAACCUGGCGCGGGGCAAGUGCUGGUGACCGCUUCAAUAGUAGAGAUAUUUUUGAUAGCGUAUAGCCCGCCUGCCCCCUCAAAGCAGUAGUUUUUACUACCUUCCUUUUGACCUCAGAUCAGACGAGGAUACCCGCUGAACUUAA